CCUACGGGGGGCAGCAGUGGGGGAUAUUGCACAAUGGGGGAAACCCUGAUGCAGCGACGCCGCGUGAGUGAAGAAGUAUUUCGGUAUGUAAAGCUCUAUCAGCAGGGAAGAAAAUGAAAGUAACUGAACAAGAAGGCCCGGCUAAAUACGUGCCAGCAGCCGCGGUAAUACGUAGGGGGCAAACGUUAUCCGGAUUUAAUGGGUGUAAAGGGGGGGUAGACGGGUAUGUAAGUUCGAAGUGAAAGCCCGGGGCCCAACCCCGGGACUGCUUUGGAAACUGUGUAACUGGAGUACAGGAGGGGCAGGUGGAAUUCCUGGUGUAGCGGUGAAAUGCGUAGAUAUCAGGAGGAACACCAGCGGCGAAGGCGGCCUGCUGGACUGAAACUGACGUUGAGGCUCGAAAGCGUGGGGAGCAAACAGGAUUAGAUACCCGAGUAGUC
Molecule: ribosomal RNA, 440 nt
Filed under: uncultured bacterium
Lineage: Bacteria
Description: partial 16S ribosomal RNA
Rfam family: Bacterial small subunit ribosomal RNA
Source: RNAcentral